AUCAACGCUGGCGGCGUGCCUAACACAUGCAAGUCGAACGCGAGAGGGGCUUCGGCCCUGAUUGAGUGGCAAACGGGUGAGUAACGCGUGGGUGACCUACCUUCGAGUGGGGGAUAACGUUCCGAAAGGGACGCUAAUACCGCAUAACAUCCUGUCUUUGGACAGAUGGAGACCAAAGCCGGGGAUCGUAAGACCUGGCGCUUGAGGAGGGGCCCGCGUCCGAUUAGCUAGUUGGUGGGGUAAGGCUCACCAAGGCAACGAUCGGUAGCCGGCCUGGGAGGGCGGACGGCCACACUGGGACUGAGACACGGCCCAGACUCCUACGGGAGGCAGCAGUGGGGAAUUGUUCGCAAUGGGCGC
This 360-nucleotide ribosomal RNA is filed under the name uncultured bacterium. Its description in RNAcentral is "bacterial SSU rRNA". It matches the Rfam family "Bacterial small subunit ribosomal RNA", at positions 29 to 378 of the family's 1533-position model. The record is from RNAcentral.